UGCGUAGGUGGCAAGGUAAGUCGGAUGUGAAAUCUCCGAGCUCAACUCGGAAAUGGCAUUGGAAACUGCUUUGCUCGAGGGUUGGAGGGGGGACUGGAAUACUUGGUGUAGCAGUGAAAUGCGUAGAUAUCAAGUGGAACACCAGUGGCGAAGGCGAGUCCCUGGACAACUCCUGACACUGAGGCACGAAAGCUAGGGGAGCAAACA
Molecule: ribosomal RNA, 207 nt
Filed under: uncultured Verrucomicrobiota bacterium
Lineage: Bacteria; Pseudomonadati; Verrucomicrobiota
Description: uncultured Verrucomicrobia bacterium partial 16S ribosomal RNA
Rfam family: Bacterial small subunit ribosomal RNA
Source: RNAcentral